UACGUAGGGUGCGAGCGUUAAUCGGAUUUACUGGGCGUAAAGCGUGCGCAGGCGGCCCGUUAAGACAGGUGUGAAAUCCCUGGGCUCAACCUAGGAAUUGCGCUUGUGACUGGCGGGCUCGAGUACGGUAGAGGGGGGUGGAAUUCCUGGUGUAGCAGUGAAAUGCGUAGAGAUCAGGAGGAAGACCGAUGGCGAAGGCAGCCCCCUGGGCCUGUACUGACGCUCAUGCACGAAAGCGUGGGGAGCAAACAGG
Molecule: ribosomal RNA, 253 nt
Filed under: uncultured microorganism
Description: partial 16S ribosomal RNA
Rfam family: Bacterial small subunit ribosomal RNA
Source: RNAcentral